RNAcentral lists this ribosomal RNA (418 nucleotides) under uncultured bacterium. RNAcentral describes it as "bacterial SSU rRNA". It matches the Rfam family "Bacterial small subunit ribosomal RNA", at positions 27 to 507 of the family's 1533-position model. The record is from RNAcentral.
GGACGAACGCUGGCGGCGCGCCUAACACAUGCAAGUCGAACGGAGUUUACAAGCGGAAGUUUUCGGAUGGAAGCUUGUAAACUUAGUGGCGGACGGGUGAGUAACACGUGAGCAACCUGCCUAUCAGAGGGAAAAGGAGCAAUCCGCUUUGAGAUGGCCUCGCGUCCGAUUAGCUGGUUGGUGAGGUAACGGCCCACCAAGGCGACGAUCGGUAGCCGGACUGAGAGGUUGAACGGCCACAUUGGGACUGAGACACGGCCCAAACUCCUACGGGAGGCAGCAGUGGGGAAUAUUGCACAAUGGAGGAAACUCUGAUGCAGCGACGCCGCGUGAGCGAUGAAGUAUUUCGGUAUGUAAAGCUCUAUCAGCAGGGAAGAUAAUGACGGUACCUGAGUAAGAAGCUCCGGCUAAAUACGUG